RNAcentral lists this ribosomal RNA (589 nucleotides) under uncultured bacterium. Its description in RNAcentral is "bacterial SSU rRNA". It matches the Rfam family "Bacterial small subunit ribosomal RNA", at positions 349 to 929 of the family's 1533-position model. The record is from RNAcentral.
CAGCAGUGGGGGGAUUUUGCACAAUGGGCGCAAGCCUGAUGCAGCGACGCCGCGUGAGGGAUGGAGGCCUUCGGGUUGUGAACCUCUGUCGCCGGUGAUGUAGGCUCUGCUUUGUGGGUGGGGUUGACGGUAGCCGGGGUAUGAAGUGCCGGCUAACUACGUGCCAGCAGCCGCGGUAAUACGUAGGGCGCGAGCGUUGUCCGGAAUUAUUGGGCGUAAAGAGCUCGUAGGCGGCUGGUCGCGUCUGUCGUGAAAUCCUCUGGCUUAACUGGGGGCGUGCGGUGGGUACGGGCCGGCUUGAGUGCGGUAGGGGAGGCUGGAAUUCCUGGUGUAGCGGUGGAAUGCGCAGAUAUCAGGAGGAACACCGGUGGCGAAGGCGGGUCUCUGGGCCGUGUACUGACGCUGAGGAGCGAAAGCGUGGGGAGCGAACAGGAUUAGAUACCCUGGUAGUCCAUGCUGUAAACGUUGGGCACUAGGUGUGGGGGGUCUUUCCGGGUCUUCCGCGCCGUAGCUAACGCAUUAAGUGCCCCGCCUGGGGAGUACGGCCGCAAGGCUAAAACUCAAAGGAAUUGACGGGGGCCCGCACAAG